AAGCAUUUGCCAAGAGUGUUUUCGUCAAUCAAGAACGAAAGUUAGAGGUUCGAAGGCGAUCAGAUACCGCCCUAGUUCUAACCGUAAACGAUGCCAACCAGCAAUCCGCCAGUGUUAAAUGUAUGACUUGGCGGGAGGCUUCCGGUAAACCAAAGUUGGGUUCCGGGGGGAGUAUGGUUGCAAAGCUGAAACUUAAAGGAAUUGACGGAAGGGCACCACCAGGAGUGGAGCCUGCGGCUUAAUUUGACUCAACACGGGGAAACUCACCCGGCCCGAACACCGUAAGGAUUGACAGAUUGAGAGCUCUUUCUUGAUUCGGUGGAUGGUGGUGCAUGGCCGUUCUUAGUUGGUGGAGCGAUUUGUCUGGUUAAUUCCGAUAACGAACGAGACUCUAGCCUACUAAAUAGACAUUGGAUUCGGUUGUCCAGUGUACUUCUUAGAGGGACAAGCGGCGUCUAGCUGCACGAGAUUGAGCAAUAACAGGUCUGUGAUGCCCUUAGAUGUUCGGGGCCGCACGCGCGCUACACUGAAGGAAUCAACAUGCAUAUCAACCUUGUCCGGAAGGACUUGGUAACCCGUUGAAACUCCUUCGUGAUUGGGAUAGGGAAUUGCAAUUAUUUCCCUUGAACGAGGAAUUCCCAGUAAGUGCGGGUCAUCAGCUCGCGUUGAUUACGUCCCUGCCCUUUGUACACACCGCCCGUCGCUAUUACCGAUUGGAUGGUUCAGUGAGAGAUGCGGACUUGCGUUGAGGCGGCUUCACGGCUGCCUCUUCUGCGGGAA
RNAcentral lists this ribosomal RNA (780 nucleotides) under Tripyla sp. SSU2_10. RNAcentral's name for it is "SSU rRNA". It matches the Rfam family "Eukaryotic small subunit ribosomal RNA", at positions 949 to 1752 of the family's 1831-position model. The record is from RNAcentral. Lineage: Eukaryota; Metazoa; Nematoda; Enoplea; Triplonchida; Tripylidae.